Molecule: ribosomal RNA, 450 nt
Filed under: uncultured bacterium
Lineage: Bacteria
Description: partial 16S ribosomal RNA
Rfam family: Bacterial small subunit ribosomal RNA
Source: RNAcentral
GUGGGGAAUAUUGGACAAUGGGCGAAAGCCUGAUCCAGCCAUGCCGCGUGUGUGAAGAAGGUCUUCGGAUUGUAAAGCACUUUAAGUUGGGAGGAAGGGUAGUAACCUAAUACGUUGCUACUUUGACGUUACCGACAGAAUAAGCACCGGCUAACUUCGUGCCAGCAGCCGCGGUAAUACGAAGGGUGCAAGCGUUAAUCGGAAUUACUGGGCGUAAAGCGCGCGUAGGUGGUUUUGUAAGUUGGAGGUGAAAUCCCCGGGCUCAACCUGGGAACUGCCUCCAAAACUGCAUGACUAGAGUACGGUAGAGGGUAGUGGAAUUUCCUGUGUAGCGGUGAAAUGCGUAGAUAUAGGAAGGAACACCAGUGGCGAAGGCGACUACCUGGACUGAUACUGACACUGAGGUGCGAAAGCGUGGGGAGCAAACAGGAUUAGAAACCCUUGUAGUCC